Molecule: long non-coding RNA, 305 nt
Filed under: Phoenix dactylifera (date palm)
Lineage: Eukaryota; Viridiplantae; Streptophyta; Magnoliopsida; Arecales; Arecaceae
Description: long non-coding RNA (PDAC_LNC014262)
Source: RNAcentral
ACGUAUCACACUUGAGUGGCUAGAUUUUUGUUGACAUUUGACUUGCAUAUUUAUACUGAUUAUUCGAGCUUUUGAUAACCGGUAUAUGAUUUUAUGAUAUGUGCAUUGAUUUGUCGUGGUUUUCAAAAUUCAUAUUAUUAUUGUGUUGGUAUGGAUGUGUAGGGAUUCUUACUGGGCUGUAAAGCUCACCCCCUCUUCUUUUUCUUUACCAGAGUUGCAGGAUGCAUAGAUUUUGAUGGGAUGGGCGCAGAGUGCAAAUAUCAGAGUCAUUAGCUAGUAGUUUGUUUAUCCUUCUUUGAUGUCGA